AUGCUCGCUUCAGCAGCACAUACACUAAAACUGGAACGAUACAGAGAAGAUCAGGGUGGACACUGUGCAAGGAUGACACGCAAAUGCAUGAAGCGGUCCAUUUUUUA
Small nuclear RNA from Molossus molossus (Pallas's mastiff bat), 107 nucleotides. NCBI's taxonomy places the organism in Eukaryota, Metazoa, Chordata, Mammalia, Chiroptera, Molossidae. The record is from RefSeq and is a predicted model, not a curated record.